This 6340-nucleotide long non-coding RNA is filed under the name Triticum aestivum (bread wheat). RNAcentral describes it as "long non-coding RNA (TAES_LNC005301)". The record is from RNAcentral. Lineage: Eukaryota; Viridiplantae; Streptophyta; Magnoliopsida; Poales; Poaceae.
CCAAAUGUGCUGAUGCUGCGAUUAAGUUCUCCAUGGGGUUGGAGAAGUGACCCUGUGGUAUUGGUAUAUAAUUGGGCGGUGCCAUAUUGCCGUGAGGAGGUGCCAUCCCCUGAGGCUGGACUGGACCUCCCGCUCCGGAUGUAAUAAGCUGAUUCGCACCUGGCGGGUUACUUGGACCGGCCCUGGGUGUAGCAAAGAGAUUCCGAGGAUCAUAAUUCUGAGGUAAACGGGACUGAGUUUUCUGAUGUCUCCUCCUCAUUACCUCAUUAGAUGCGUUUAAGCUCAACAUGAGCUACAAGGCCUCUGCCUGAAGUUGCUGCGCUCGUACGUCCAAAGCCGCCCGCUCUGCUGCUAAUCUAGCGUCCUCGGCUGCUAAGGUUUCCUUGACCCGGGCGAUCUCGUCGCGAACCUGUGCCACCUCUGCCUCAUGCUCAGAUUGGUUCGCAGGGAUGACUGUAACAGUUAACAAAGUCGUAAACUUAUCCAUGAGAUCCAUCAGCAUCUGAGCCGGUGAGCGCACGGGCCUCCUGGCCCGGCUGCUCCUAACCCGGACGUUAUCGCAGCUGAGGCCGUAGAGUUUUGGCCGGGUUGAGUACCAGCCAUGAAGACUCUUGCCCAGUUUGGCGACUCUGAGAGGUCCGGAAUAGUGCUGCCAUCGGAACAACCCCCAAGCACACCAUCUUGAACUUGAUACAGCGAAUCUGUUGAGCCGGCGGAUGAAUCACCGUUAGAGAGGACGGCUGGCUCACCAUCACCUUCAGAUCCUUCAGGAAGUUCACCUCCAUGGAUGCAACCCACAAAGGCACGCUUCACGACGGGUUGAGCUCGGGCGGGUUUCGCACGAUGAGCCGUCUCGACGAGGUCGGUGCAGCUGUCCGGCUCAGGGCCUGGCUCACCAAUCCGACCGAUGAAGACGUGAAUUCCGCCAAAGGGGACCCGGUAGCCAUACUCAAUUGAGCCGGCGUCGGGGCCCCAGCCUACGUCGUCGAUGUAGAUCUUGCCGCGACGACUCUUGGUCAUCCGGCCAACUGCGUAUCCCUUGAGCCCUUCGAAGCUGCCCUUCAAGAACUCAAAUCCACCGUGCGCUGGCCCCACGGUGGGUGCCAACUGUCGUGGAAUUGUCACGACAGAUGUCCUCUUGCAAGGACUUGAUCGUGGAGCUAUCGCAACUAGGAAGCUUAAAGGGGUUAAUCGGGACAAAGGACACGCGAGGUUUAUACUAGUUCAGCCCCUUACGGUGAAGGAAGGCCUACGUCUAGUUGGGUUGGAAUUGCUUGAGGUUUCGAUGACCGGGGAGCGAGAUAUGCUAUGCCCGGUUCUCGAUCUCUUGUUUCUUCUGUCCCUAAGCCGCCAGCAGGUCAUCCCCUUAUAUACACGGAUUGACGCCCUACGGCUUACAGAGUCCCGGCCGGCUCAUAAACAGUGUCCGGCUCGGUGACUAGUUAUUUCUAUCUUACAAUACAAGUCGCGCCCUCAUGGCGGUUUAUCACCAUGGGCCAUAAAGCGUCUGUGGGCCACUAGACCCUUUACUGAACCGCCAUCUUCACUCUUGGUCUUGGGCUUCAGAUGGGCUUCUCUUUACGUAACUCGCCCCCCCUGGGCGGUUUAGGUAAAUAGUUAUAUCUCCAACAGUAGCUAGCUUCAUCCAUAAUGCCGCAGAGGGGGCAUGUCCCGCGCGACGUGAGAUGCCUAUACUGCAUGCACGCCGUAGUAGCCAACGCACCAGUCGCCGCUCGCCAAGCCGUAUGUUCCAUGCGUAAAGGAACACAAGAGUUCCAGAUAAGUUGGCUACCUAAUGGGUAGAUCAAAUAGAACAUGAUUUUUUCAUAAUUUUACAUUCAUCGACAACACAUUUGACAGAAAAAACAUUCAUCUCAACUCAAUAAAAUAUAGAUGAGUACAUGACAAUUAUCUUAAUUCAAAUAGACAAUUCAUAACAACUUUAACAUAGGUUCAUGAGUUCACGACAUACUUUACGGGUAAGGUCCAUAUGUUAGUAUAAACGGGCAGGCUAUACCCAUUACUUAACGGGUAGGGUACGGGUACUAUCCAUGGGUAUAAAAUUGUGUCCAUACCCUACCCAUGCGGAUACGGUAUCCGCGGAUGCCCGUACCCAUGGGUAAAGUUGCCAGGUAAUAUCUAUCUAAUUAUCCAUAAAUAUUACCAUGACAAAAAAAUUGUCCACGUCUGCCAGUACUGCCUUUUGCAGAUAAAUCAACCAUGCCCCUGUCGCAUCGUUGGUUUGCCGCUCCGGCCUCAUCGCGCAAUAUCAUCGCAUGACCUCACUGCGCACGCCUCACAACAUGAUCUCAUCGCGCGGGCCUCGCCGCUCCGGCCUCGUCACCCGACGGACUCAGGCAACACCGCACGAGCUUCAACACGUGAACAACAAUCCACGAAACCUCACCGCAACUGGCUCGAGGGCUACGCCUCACCUCUUACGGACACAUGCAAUAUUUAUUUAUUUAUUUUUCUCAUCCAUGUCAAAAAUUCAUGAGAAUUAAUUUCUGCCAGUAUACUCUAUGUAUGUAGAUUACAAUCAGGACAUGGCAGUCUAUGAGAGGUGAGGGUACCUACCACCGGAUGGUAGGAUUUACUACCAGUAUUUACAAGAUGUUUGAACUGCCAAAACGUGUUAUAUUUAGAAACAGAGGAUGCGAUUUUUAUAUAUACAUAAAUGAGAUCAUUAUAAUCACAUAUAAUUUUUAAUAAUAAUUAUUAGAUACCUCAAAGUGAGUUGCGUCAAAAUUCUAUUUGAAUAUGUAUUUAUAUUUUUUGAGGGGAUACUGAACUAUUUUUACUAAUGAUACCCCGCACGUUGUUGCGGGAAUAUUUUGUAACAUAUCUCAAUGUGAUUCAUUGUAUGAAACAUAUAUAAAAGGAUAAAAUUGAAACUACAUAUACUUUAUUAUGUUUGAUCACUAUAUAGUUGUAAAAUGUUUAUUAAAUAUAAAUAGAAUAAUAGAAUAGAAAUUCACAUGUUGAGAUAGGUCUUUUUUUAUGCAGGUUUCAUGAUGAAGUGGCAUACUUGCAUGUUGCGAGACAUAUGAUAGUGAGUGUGGGGUUUUUCUCGUGUAUGUUGUGUGAUGAUGUGGCAUGCUUGCAUGUUGAGAGAAAUAGUUAGUGGGGCUACCUAUUUAGAUAUACUCAAAAAUAGUUAGUAGAAGAUAACGCAAAAAUAACUACGCUGCCUGACUGGGCCUGGCCUAUUUAGGGGCGUGCCCACACACACACGCACAUUGGACACUAACGGGCCCAACGAACGACAGAUACUCGAUACCCCCAGCCCGCUAGGGUUUUGCUGGCAGGUAUAAAAUACCCCUUCUUCUCCUCUCCCAUUCCUCCCUCCUAUCAACUCGACCACAGAGCGGCGGCGGCGGCGGCGGCAGCGGAAGAAAGAGGAGAGAGCUCCAGCCAUGGUGCACGUCAACUUCUACCGCAACUGUAAGACCGCGCCACGAUCCUCCUGUCUCCCCUACCCUCUUGUGCUCUCUGCUCAAUUGUAUUCAGUCAUUUGUGUCUUCGUGCUCGCCGUGAUCUGAUGGGGUGUUGCUCGCAUAGGCUUAGUUGCAGCAAGUUGCUAUCGGUUAGCCUUCUGCUUCCUGCUACAGCAGCUGCUUGCCGCAACGCAGAGCUCAGAGAUCUCUUAGCUGUGGCGUCUUACUUCGGGCAUAGCUGGUGAGAGGUCAGAGAUUCGUUCCCGUGAUGUCUUGCGUGCCGAGUUGCUGUGAGGCGAGGGGGAAGGUUGAUUAGCGAGUGCAUGAUUUGCGUCGGCGUGAUGCCGUUGUGGGAUGAGAGGUUUGUUUGCAUAAGAUUUUGGCCUAUCUUUUGUUCGGAAUACCUGGAUUUGAGUCGUGCCUGGCACGAGGACUGCGCCCUAGAUCUAAUUAAAGGUGUCUUACUUGAGCACUAGACAUUUGUUUACUCUCAGCUCUGUCAGCACGCUCAGUUGGUAGUCUCGUCAGAUUUAAACAAGUUCCUUGUUUCAGGGAUAUUGAUAUGCAGCCCAUAGCCAUCAGGUUUACUGAUAAAUUUAGAAUCAGGCCAGCCGAAGUGAAGUCUAAUUACCUAUAUAUCUGUUUCACGGUGGAAACUAUUCACCUCCUACUGUUACUGGUUCUUCAUGUGGGAGCUUUGAAUUUGGUAUAUAUACUAUGCCACUAGAAUAGUCACAGAAAUGAUGUUGGUGCUUCAUAAUGGAGCCACCUGAUUUUGUUGUAUGCCAUAGCCUAGAUGUUGCAUAUUCUUUUUUGUGUGAACAUGUAAUUCAUACUACAUACAAGAGUUAUAUGCAUGUAUUCAACAUCUUUGUUCAACAUAUAAACAGGUAUUAGCAAGAUAUACAACCUACCAAUACCAUUAUGUUGCCACAAAUACAAUAUUGACGUGGCAAUCAGACCAUAAACAUGUGCAAUGAUACAAGAUAGGCAGUGCGGUGAAUGUAAGUACAGUAGAUUUCAUAAAGAACAUGCCACAAUAAAUAGAGUACAUCCUGAAACAUGAUAAAAUUCAUACUACAUACAAGAGUUAUAUGCAUGUAUUUGUUCAUAUGCUUUUAUUUCCUAUGUGCUUUUAAUUAAAUCAGAUCAAUUCUUCUGAUUUCAUUCCGACCAGAAACUUGUGAAUGUGUUAUUAUAAUUGCCUGCUUUUAAUGCACUUGGACAUAGUGGCAUAUGUGGUUCCACUUUGUACCUGGCACUUGCUCUAUGCUACAAUUUGCCCAUGUUAUGUUUUUACUGCAACUCAUGCCUUGUUUUCAUAAAUUUAUUUUCUUACUAUGUAUUUGCAAGUUAAAUGUUUUCUCUUGCAGAUGGUAAGACAUUCAAGAAACCAAGGCGUCCUUAUGAGAAGGAGCGUCUUGAUGCAGAACUAAAGCUGGUCGGUGAAUAUGGACUGAGGUGCAAGCGUGAGCUCUGGAGGGUUCAGUAUGCACUGAGCAGGAUUCGUAAUGCUGCAAGACACUUGCUCACACUGGAUGAGAAAAAUCCCCGCCGUAUCUUUGAGGGCGCGGCCCUUCUCCGUCGCAUGAACCGCUAUGGUCUCCUUGCUGAGGGCCAGGAUAAGCUUGAUUACGUCCUUGCCCUGACUGCUGAGAACUUCCUUGCAAGGCGCCUUCAGACUCUUGUCUUCAAGGCUGGCAUGGCAAAAUCCAUCCACCAUGCCCGUGUCUUGAUCAGGCAACGCCACAUCAGGUAUGCUUCUGGUAUAUUUUUCUUGCAAUGCAUGUUUUGGCAUAUGGUUCCAUAAAUUUGCAUGUUGAUCUAGAAAUCUAAAUGGUUUGCACUAGUUGUUUAAUACAGGCUACCUGAUACUGGUCUGUUACUGGUUAUUACAUGCAUCUAUGAAUUACAUGUUGGCCUGAUACUGGUUACAUGCAUGUCUGAAUUUUAUCAUCUUUCAGGAUGUACUCUAUUUAUUGUGGCAUGUUCUUUAUGAAAUCUACUGUACUUACAUUCACCGCACUGCCUAUCUUGUAUCAUUGCACAUGUUUAUGGUCUGAUUGCCACGUCAAUAUUGUAUUUGUGGCAACAUAAUGGUAUUGGUAGGUUGUAUAUCUUGCUAAGAUGUUGAACCUGUUUUCUGUAACUGAGAUUAUGUCAAUAUUGUUAGUCUUUGCUUCUUGUGUUAUACUGGUUGUGGUCUGGUAUAUAUGUGGCAUUUGCUUUGAGUUUUCAUUGUGAAGUGAUAUUUUCCAUGAAUAUUCCUGCUUGUUCACUUUGUGAAUGAAGUGUUAAAAUAAUUUUCUUGAAACCAUAUUGCAGGGUUGGCAGGCAGAUCGUCAAUGUCCCCUCGUUCAUGGUGAGGGUUGAAUCUGAGAAGCACAUCGACUUCUCACUGACAAGUCCAUUCGGUGGAGGCCCUGCAGGCAGGGUGAAGAGAAAGAACCAGAAGAAGGCAAGUGGUGGCGGUGACGCCGGUGGUGACGAGGAAGAGGAAUGAGGAACUAGUAGCUAUCACCUUAUAUUUAUCAAAUGUUGGUGUUAUGAGUACUUUAGCUGAGAGGCCUGAGACUUUCAUGGGUUAUCCUCUUGUCAUUUUGUCACUUUAUCACUGUUGUUAGCAUGUAUGCACUGCUUUAUGUUUGGAGCUAUUUGGUCGUGAUGAAAGUUAUCUAAAAAUGUUCUUGACUAUGACCUGGAAUCCUCCUUCAAUUGCUUCUGUUGGGGUGGUUGUCUGAUAGUUCAUAGGAAUCAACCUUUCUUUUCGAGUAAAUGAAUUACUUUGAUGAUCCAUUUGCUGGUUCAUAGGAAUCAACCUUUCUUUUCGAGUAAAUGAAUUACUUUGAUGAUCUAUUUGCUGGUUUGUUUCCACGAGUUGUCCACUCCAGCGGGGAUCAAUA